RNAcentral lists this ribosomal RNA (539 nucleotides) under uncultured bacterium. RNAcentral describes it as "partial 16S ribosomal RNA". It matches the Rfam family "Bacterial small subunit ribosomal RNA", at positions 355 to 882 of the family's 1533-position model. The record is from RNAcentral.
UGGGGAAUAUUGCACAAUGGGCGCAAGCCUGAUGCAGCCAUGCCGCGUGUGUGAAGAAGGCCUUCGGGUUGUAAAGCACUUUCAGCGAGGAGGAAGGGUAGUGUGUUAAUAGCACAUUGCAUUGACGUUACUCGCAGAAGAAGCACCGGCUAACUCCGUGCCAGCAGCCGCGGUAAUACGGAGGGUGCAAGCGUUAAUCGGAAUUACUGGGCGUAAAGCGCACGCAGGCGGUUUGUUAAGUCAGAUGUGAAAUCCCCGCGCUUAACGUGGGAACUGCAUUUGAAACUGGCAAGCUAGAGUCUUGUAGAGGGGGGUAGAAUUCCAGGUGUAGCGGUGAAAUGCGUAGAGAUCUGGAGGAAUACCGGUGGCGAAGGCGGCCCCCCUGGACAAAGACUGACGCUCAGGUGCGAAAAGCGUGGGGAGCAAAACAGGAUUAGAUACCCUGGUAGUCCACGCUGUAAACGAUGUCGACUUGGAGGUUGUGCCCUUGAGGCGUGGCUUCCGGAGCUAACGCGUUAAGUCGACCGCCUGGGGGAGUA